GACGAACGCUGGCGGCGUGCCUAAUACAUGCAAGUUGAGCGCUGAAGGUUGGUACUUGUACCCACUGGAUGAGCAGCGAACGGGUGAGUAACGCGUGGGGAAUCUGCCUUUGAGCGGGGGACAACAUUUGGAAACGAAUGCUAAUACCGCAUAAAAACUUUAAACACAAGUUUUAAGUUUGAAAGAUGCAAUUGCAUCACUCAAAGAUGAUCCCGCGUUGUAUUAGCUAGUUGGUGAGGUAAAGGCUCACCAAGGCGAUGAUACAUAGCCGACCUGAGAGGGGGAUCGGCCACAUUGGGACUGAGACACGGCCCAAACUCCUACGGGAGGCAGCAGGAGGGAAUCUUCGGCAAUGGACGAAAGUCUGACCGAGCAACGCCGCGUGAGUGAAGAAGGGUUUCGGAUCGUAAAACUCUGUUGGUAGAGAAGAACGUUGGUGAGAGUGGAAAGCUCAUCAAGUGACGGUAACUACCCAGAAAGGGACGGCUAACUACGUG
Molecule: ribosomal RNA, 497 nt
Filed under: uncultured bacterium
Lineage: Bacteria
Description: partial 16S ribosomal RNA
Rfam family: Bacterial small subunit ribosomal RNA
Source: RNAcentral